Molecule: ribosomal RNA, 2925 nt
Filed under: Escherichia coli
Lineage: Bacteria; Pseudomonadati; Pseudomonadota; Gammaproteobacteria; Enterobacterales; Enterobacteriaceae
Also listed under: 1 other name
Description: 23S ribosomal RNA
Rfam family: Bacterial large subunit ribosomal RNA
Source: RNAcentral
GGGUUGUGAGGUUAAGCGACUAAGCGUACACGGUGGAUGCCCUGGCAGUCAGAGGCGAUGAAGGACGUGCUAAUCUGCGAUAAGCGUCGGUAAGGUGAUAUGAACCGUUAUAACCGGCGAUUUCCGAAUGGGGAAACCCAGUGUGAUUCGUCACACUAUCAUUAACUGAAUCCAUAGGUUAAUGAGGCGAACCGGGGGAACUGAAACAUCUAAGUACCCCGAGGAAAAGAAAUCAACCGAGAUUCCCCCAGUAGCGGCGAGCGAACGGGGAGCAGCCCAGAGCCUGAAUCAGUGUGUGUGUUAGUGGAAGCGUCUGGAAAGGCGCGCGAUACAGGGUGACAGCCCCGUACACAAAAAUGCACAUGCUGUGAGCUCGAUGAGUAGGGCGGGACACGUGGUAUCCUGUCUGAAUAUGGGGGGACCAUCCUCCAAGGCUAAAUACUCCUGACUGACCGAUAGUGAACCAGUACCGUGAGGGAAAGGCGAAAAGAACCCCGGCGAGGGGAGUGAAAAAGAACCUGAAACCGUGUACGUACAAGCAGUGGGAGCACGCUUAGGCGUGUGACUGCGUACCUUUUGUAUAAUGGGUCAGCGACUUAUAUUCUGUAGCAAGGUUAACCGAAUAGGGGAGCCGAAGGGAAACCGAGUCUUAACUGGGCGUUAAGUUGCAGGGUAUAGACCCGAAACCCGGUGAUCUAGCCAUGGGCAGGUUGAAGGUUGGGUAACACUAACUGGAGGACCGAACCGACUAAUGUUGAAAAAUUAGCGGAUGACUUGUGGCUGGGGGUGAAAGGCCAAUCAAACCGGGAGAUAGCUGGUUCUCCCCGAAAGCUAUUUAGGUAGCGCCUCGUGAAUUCAUCUCCGGGGGUAGAGCACUGUUUCGGCAAGGGGGUCAUCCCGACUUACCAACCCGAUGCAAACUGCGAAUACCGGAGAAUGUUAUCACGGGAGACACACGGCGGGUGCUAACGUCCGUCGUGAAGAGGGAAACAACCCAGACCGCCAGCUAAGGUCCCAAAGUCAUGGUUAAGUGGGAAACGAUGUGGGAAGGCCCAGACAGCCAGGAUGUUGGCUUAGAAGCAGCCAUCAUUUAAAGAAAGCGUAAUAGCUCACUGGUCGAGUCGGCCUGCGCGGAAGAUGUAACGGGGCUAAACCAUGCACCGAAGCUGCGGCAGCGACGCUGAUGCGUUGUUGGGUAGGGGAGCGUUCUGUAAGCCUGCGAAGGUGUGCUGUGAGGCAUGCUGGAGGUAUCAGAAGUGCGAAUGCUGACAUAAGUAACGAUAAAGCGGGUGAAAAGCCCGCUCGCCGGAAGACCAAGGGUUCCUGUCCAACGUUAAUCGGGGCAGGGUGAGUCGACCCCUAAGGCGAGGCCGAAAGGCGUAGUCGAUGGGAAACAGGUUAAUAUUCCUGUACUUGGUGUUACUGCGAAGGGGGGACGGAGAAGGCUAUGUUGGCCGGGCGACGGUUGUCCCGGUUUAAGCGUGUAGGCUGGUUUUCCAGGCAAAUCCGGAAAAUCAAGGCUGAGGCGUGAUGACGAGGCACUACGGUGCUGAAGCAACAAAUGCCCUGCUUCCAGGAAAAGCCUCUAAGCAUCAGGUAACAUCAAAUCGUACCCCAAACCGACACAGGUGGUCAGGUAGAGAAUACCAAGGCGCUUGAGAGAACUCGGGUGAAGGAACUAGGCAAAAUGGUGCCGUAACUUCGGGAGAAGGCACGCUGAUAUGUAGGUGAAGUCCCUCGCGGAUGGAGCUGAAAUCAGUCGAAGAUACCAGCUGGCUGCAACUGUUUAUUAAAAACACAGCACUGUGCAAACACGAAAGUGGACGUAUACGGUGUGACGCCUGCCCGGUGCCGGAAGGUUAAUUGAUGGGGUCAGCGCAAGCGAAGCUCUUGAUCGAAGCCCCGGUAAACGGCGGCCGUAACUAUAACGGUCCUAAGGUAGCGAAAUUCCUUGUCGGGUAAGUUCCGACCUGCACGAAUGGCGUAAUGAUGGCCAGGCUGUCUCCACCCGAGACUCAGUGAAAUUGAACUCGCUGUGAAGAUGCAGUGUACCCGCGGCAAGACGGAAAGACCCCGUGAACCUUUACUAUAGCUUGACACUGAACAUUGAGCCUUGAUGUGUAGGAUAGGUGGGAGGCUUUGAAGUGUGGACGCCAGUCUGCAUGGAGCCGACCUUGAAAUACCACCCUUUAAUGUUUGAUGUUCUAACGUUGACCCGUAAUCCGGGUUGCGGACAGUGUCUGGUGGGUAGUUUGACUGGGGCGGUCUCCUCCUAAAGAGUAACGGAGGAGCACGAAGGUUGGCUAAUCCUGGUCGGACAUCAGGAGGUUAGUGCAAUGGCAUAAGCCAGCUUGACUGCGAGCGUGACGGCGCGAGCAGGUGCGAAAGCAGGUCAUAGUGAUCCGGUGGUUCUGAAUGGAAGGGCCAUCGCUCAACGGAUAAAAGGUACUCCGGGGAUAACAGGCUGAUACCGCCCAAGAGUUCAUAUCGACGGCGGUGUUUGGCACCUCGAUGUCGGCUCAUCACAUCCUGGGGCUGAAGUAGGUCCCAAGGGUAUGGCUGUUCGCCAUUUAAAGUGGUACGCGAGCUGGGUUUAGAACGUCGUGAGACAGUUCGGUCCCUAUCUGCCGUGGGCGCUGGAGAAUUGAGGGGGGCUGCUCCUAGUACGAGAGGACCGGAGUGGACGCAUCACUGGUGUUCGGGUUGUCAUGCCAAUGGCACUGCCCGGUAGCUAAAUGCGGAAGAGAUAAGUGCUGAAAGCAUCUAAGCACGAAACUUGCCCCGAGAUGAGUUCUCCCUGACUCCUUGAGAGUCCUGAAGGAACGUUGAAGACGACGACGUUGAUAGGCCGGGUGUGUAAGCGCAGCGAUGCGUUGAGCUAACCGGUACUAAUGAACCGUGAGGCUUAACCUUACAACGCCGAAG